GUCGAACGCUGGCGGCGUGCUUAACACAUGCAAGUCGAACGCGCCUGUCCUCUGGGUUUCUGGGGGGUGGGUGAGUGGCGAACGGGUGAGUAACACGUGAGUAACCUGCCCCCUUCUUCGGGAUAACGGUCUGAAAGGGCUGCUAAUACCGGGUAUUCACUGGUCUCCGCAUGGGGUCUGGUGGAAAGGUUUUUUUCUGGUGGGGGAUGGGCUCGCGGCCUAUCAGCUUGUUGGUGGGGUGAUGGCCCACCAAGGCUUUGACGGGUAGCCGGCCUGAGAGGGUGACCGGUCACAUUGGGACUGAGAUACGGCCCAGACUCCUACGGGAGGCAGCAGUGGGGAAUAUUGCACAAUGGGCGCAAGCCUGAUGCAGCGACGCCGCGUGAGGGAUGGAGGCCUUCGGGUUGUGAACCUCUUUCGCCCGUGGUCAAGCCGCGACGUGGGUCGUGGUGAGGGUAGUGGGUAAAGAAGCGCCGGCUAACUACGUG
RNAcentral lists this ribosomal RNA (488 nucleotides) under uncultured bacterium. RNAcentral's name for it is "partial 16S ribosomal RNA". It matches the Rfam family "Bacterial small subunit ribosomal RNA", at positions 28 to 507 of the family's 1533-position model. The record is from RNAcentral.